CUCCUUUGACGUUAGCGGCGGACGGGUGAGUAACACGUGGGUAACCUACCUAUAAGACUGGGAUAACUUCGGGAAACCGGAGCUAAUACCGGAUAAUAUUUCGAACCGCAUGGUUCGAUAGUGAAAGAUGGUUUUUGCUAUCACUUAUAGAUGGACCCGCGCCGUAUUAGCUAGUUGGUAAGGUAACGGCUUACCAAGGCGACGAUACGUAGCCGACCUGAGAGGGUGAUCGGCCACACUGGAACUUAGACACGGUCCAGACUCCUACGGGAGGCAGCAGUC
This 282-nucleotide ribosomal RNA is filed under the name uncultured Staphylococcus sp. RNAcentral's name for it is "partial 16S ribosomal RNA". It matches the Rfam family "Bacterial small subunit ribosomal RNA", at positions 81 to 355 of the family's 1533-position model. The record is from RNAcentral. Lineage: Bacteria; Bacillati; Bacillota; Bacilli; Caryophanales; Staphylococcaceae.